This is a long non-coding RNA of Anolis carolinensis (green anole), 1097 nucleotides long. RefSeq lists it as uncharacterized. Lineage: Eukaryota; Metazoa; Chordata; Lepidosauria; Squamata; Anolidae. The transcript is spliced from 3 exons. The record is from RefSeq and is a predicted model, not a curated record.
UCUGCUUAUUGUAUUUCUGCUUGUGUAUUGGAGGAUAGUGCGUGUUGUGUUCGUGGUGUGGGUUGGUGGGAGGACAGACAAUGUAAGAAGCCCCGCGGAAGAGGUCAAGCAUUCUUAAUCAGCCGAAGCCAACGAGAUUUUCCCUUUGAAUCCCAAAUGGAGCUCUAAAGAAGGGGGCUCCCUGCCCCUCCCACCUCCCUUUGGCCCUUCACCAAUCUACUAAACAAAGGCCAAGGAAUAAAAGGCUGUUGUGUGACAGCCAAUUGUUUCAUUUCAAGUUGCUGGCCGGCAUCUUAAUCUUCAUUUAUAUGCUGAUUCUCCCCCUUCCUUGUCUCAAGGGGAUGAAAACGUCCAGGGUCUCCUCAGGAUGAUGACUGGGGUCAAAAGGCUUCCAAUUUACUGCUGUACCAAAAGAAGCUGUCUCCCAGUUGCAGCAAAAGCAGCCACAUGCUACUGAAUUUUCUGUGCCAUCUUCAAAGGGAGUCUCCACGCUGAAUAUAUUAAAGUAGCUGAGUCUUAUUCCAUUCUGAAGCUGUGAUCAUAGUCAUGCCUGCCUAUUCUUAGUCAACAUCAAGUCAGCCAGUCUUUGACAGCAACACCGUUUCAUUUCUCACAUGAAUAAUAACAGUUGGUUUGAGAGAAGAUUGAAAAUCAACCCAGCAAAAAGCUGAGAACGUCAUACAGGAAUGGACAAUGCUUCCCGAGUCUUUGAACCAUGUCAAGAAGUCAUUAUGCACCUGAGUGCUUCAAGGUGAUUGAAUCCCUGUCUUCCAAACUGGUAAGAUGCCAUAAAAAAUGACAAUGUGCACAGAGUUUGCAUGGAUAAGGGGCCUAGACAAAAGACACACAACUCUACUGUUCUUUCUUCCAUUGAUCAAAACAGUAACACCUUCCUGUUUCUUUUAUGCCUUUGCUUCAGGCUAAACAUUCUGCAUUCCAAAAGAAAUGGUAAGCCGUUCAUGCCACAUCUCACAAAAAGGACAUGCUUCACUAAAAGAAAAAGGACACACAUUUGGACAUUUGCACAUGCUACUUUAGAUGUAAAGAUGCAAUUUAGAAACAAUUAUUAUAACUGAAAUAAACAACAACAACAUACA